This is a non-coding RNA of Carica papaya (papaya), 279 nucleotides long. The record is from RefSeq and is a predicted model, not a curated record. NCBI's taxonomy places the organism in Eukaryota, Viridiplantae, Streptophyta, Magnoliopsida, Brassicales, Caricaceae.
CCCAUUUAGUCUUUUCCUUCAAAUUUUCAGAUCGUGCCCUAGUCCUCCUCCGCUCUCUCUCACUCUCGCCUUCCCACCCUUUUCCAGUUCUCCCCCUUGACGCAAACGCCGAUUCAGACGACAAACCAGACGUCGGGAAGACGACAGGAGAGUCGCAGACGCUAGGCUCGUCAACCGCUCGCCUCCAAGCUGGGUCCCCCUCCCUUUUUCUCUUUUGUUGUUACUUUAGACGUCAGAUUCCCCAACUGCAUGCAAAGCUUUGGAUUUGAAGAUACAAAA